This 465-nucleotide ribosomal RNA is filed under the name uncultured bacterium. Its description in RNAcentral is "partial 16S ribosomal RNA". It matches the Rfam family "Bacterial small subunit ribosomal RNA", at positions 28 to 507 of the family's 1533-position model. The record is from RNAcentral.
GACGAACGCUGGCGGCGUGCUUAACACAUGCAAGUCGAACGGAAAGGCCCUGCUUGCAGGGUACUCGAGUGGCGAACGGGUGAGCAACACGUGGGUGAUCUGCCCUGCACUUCGGGAUAAGCCUGGGAAACUGGGUCUAAUACCGGAUAGGAGCCAUUUUUAGUGUGAUGGUUGGAAAGUUUUUUCGGUGUAGGAUGAGCUCGCGGCCUAUCAGCUUGUUGGUGGGGUAAUGGCCUACCAAGGCGGCGACGGGUAGCCGGCCUGAGAGGGUGGACGGCCACAUUGGGACUGAGAUACGGCCCAGACUCCUACAGGAGGCAGCAGUGGGGAAUAUUGCACAAUGGGCGCAAGCCUGAUGCAGCGACGCCGCGUGGGGGAUGACGGCCUUCGGGUUGUAAACUCCUUUCGCUAGGGACGAAGCUUUUUGUGACGGUACCUAGAGAAGAAGCACCGGCUAACUACGUG